RNAcentral lists this long non-coding RNA (4761 nucleotides) under Nicotiana tabacum (common tobacco). Its description in RNAcentral is "long non-coding RNA (NTAB_LNC003513)". The record is from RNAcentral. Lineage: Eukaryota; Viridiplantae; Streptophyta; Magnoliopsida; Solanales; Solanaceae.
GUAAUUCCCCCCUCAAGGUUAAGCAACACACUUACCUUUUUGAAGUUAGGCCAAUAUUUCAAAAUAGCCCUCUUGCUUGAAUUGAUCUCCGGACAGCUCAAAUCUAUCCAAAUUAAUUGUAUAACUUCAUUAAAAUUCAUCGGAAACAAUUCCGGAUAAUAAUUCGUCGACUUAAAAUUUUAUUCCAAAAAGUCAACAAAAGUCAACGUGGGGCCUACCCUCGGAACUCGACAUAAUUUUCAUGAAAUACGAACACCCAUUCUAAUACGAGUUUAACCAUACUAAUUUUAUCGGAUUCCAAUAACAACUCGACCUCCAAAUCUUAAAUUUUCAUUUUUGGAAAGGUUUACAAAUAAUCUUGAUUUUCCUUCUUUAAAAUCCGAAUUAAAUGAUGGAUUCAAAGGUAUAAUCAUAGAAAUUAAUCAAAGCUGGAUAAGAAUCACUUACCCCAAACACCCACGCGAGAAUCUCUCUAAAAAUCGCCUUCUACCGAGCUCCCAAUUUGAUUUUGUGUUAUGAACUCAAACCCCUAUUUUAGAGACUUUUAAUUCUGCCUAGUUGACUACGCAUCGCGAUCGCGAAGAAGAGAAUUGAGGCUGCCACGAAAGACCCUUCGCGAUCGCGAGUAAAGGGACGAGAACACGAUGAACAAUAGGCAGGAGCUUACGCGAACGCAGGGCAAUUGAUGCGAACGCGAAGAAGAAAUAGCCAACGGCCCCCAGCUCCUAAUUUCUUCUACGCGAACGCGAAUAGAGAGUUGCGAACGUGAAGAAGGGAAAAGCAGAAGUACGCGAUCGAGGAAGUAAGCUCGCAAACGUGAAGGACAAAUAAUUCCCCUUCCAAAAUAACACUACGCGAAUGCGAAUUGGGGGACGCGAACGCGAACGCGAUGAAGGAAAUGUGUAGAGCUACGCGAUCGCGAGGCGUAUUAUGUGAAUGCGAAGAAGGAAAUUGAGGCAAUCAGCAGAGACACUUCGCGAACGCAGAAGGAUCUUUGCGAUCGCGAAGAAGGAUAUCAGACACCAGAACCAGCAGUUCAAAAAUAGAAGGAAAUGGUCCGUAGCCCAUCCGAAACACACCCGAGGCCCUUGGGACCCUGUCUAAACAUACCCACAAGUUCCAUAACCUAACACGGACUCACUCGAGGUCUCAAAUUACAUCAAAUAACAUCUAAAUCAUGAAUCGCACUCCAAUUCAAACUUAAUGAAUUUUAAAACUUUAACUUCUACAAUCGAUUGCGAAACCUAUCAAAUCACGUCCGAUUGCCCUCAAAUUUUGUACACAAGUCAUAAUUGACAUUACAGACCUACUCCAACUUCCAGAAUCGGAUUCUGACCUAGAUAUCAAAAAGUCCACUUCCGGUCCAAAUCUCCAAAAAUUUAACUUUUCCCAUUUCAAGCCUAAAUCAACUACGGACCUCAAAUUCACAGUCCGGACAUGCUCCUAAGUCCAAAAUCACCAAACGGAGCUAACGGAACCGACAUAAUCCAUUCCGGAGUCGUUUUCAUACAAUUACGACUACGGUUAAAAUUCUAAGACUUAAGCUUCCGUUUUAGGGACUAAGUAUCCCAAAUCACUCCGAAUCAUCCGUAAACCAAACUCGACCACACCCGCGGGUCAUAAUGCAUAUUUUGAGGCUGCUCGAGACCUUAAGCCACUGAACGGGACAUAAAUUCUUAAAAUGACAAGUCGGAUCGUUACACGAUCCAUCCUUAAAGCUUAGGGGAGAUGUUGGUGAGCUUCUACCGGAUCCAACAGUAUAUCACCGGUUAUUGAAAAAGCUUAAUUUUUUACCUAACACCUAGCCAGAUCUUUCAUUUGUCAUUCAACACCUCAGUCAAUACAUGCAGAGUCCUAACCGACCUUAUUUCGAUGCAACCAUUCAUUGUCUCCGAUAUCUACUUUCUACUCCUGAUAUAAGACUCUUCCUGAACUCGGAUCCUUCACUACAAUUAUUGGCAUUUUGUGACUCCGACUGGGCUUCUUGCCCCGAUUCGGGCCAAUCAGUUAGCGGGUUUUACAUUAGUCUCGGUAGUUCUCCUAUUUCUUGGAAGUCCAAGAAAUAAUCUUUGAUAUCUCUUUCCUCCGCCGAGGCCGAAUAUCGAUCUAUGAGGCGUGUAGUAGCAGAAUUACUUGGCUUGUUCGACUCCUUACAGAUCUAUCAAUUUCUCCGUCACUGCCCAUUUCCCUUUAUUCCAAUAGCCAAGCAGCAAUCCACAUAGCCAAAAAUCCCAUUUUUUACGAAAAGACUAAGCAUGUGGAUUUGGACUGCCAUUUUGUUCGACAACAGUUCUUGGCCGGCUUAAUUUCACUCACUUUUGUUCCUUCUAAAUCUCAGAUCGUUGAUGUCUUCACCAAGCCGCUCACUGGACCUCUUCAUCACUCCAUUCUUCCCAAGUUGGGUGUGCUUCCUUAGCCCUCCAACUUGGGGGAGGUAGGAGGGGUGUUGGCACCAAAAAUCUUAAAGAGACUCAUUUACAGAAGAUGGAAAGAUUAGGCUCAGAGAGAGAAGAGAAGAGUAUGCUAUCAGACCAAACAAAUGAAAUGAAGCAAAGACACAAAGACUAAAUCUUUAAGCCUCUCACGCGUAUGAAUGCACAAACCAAUCAGAAUCCUUUAUCACAAAAUAAGGAAUUUUAUCUGGCACCUACACGUGUUAAUUUGAGUACAGAUGAUUUUCAUAAUAGGAAGAAACCACAACUUUCUAGAACCAUAUUAGCUGGAUAAUAAUAUUAUAAAUAUAUUUUUCAUUUAUUAUUCUUUCAUUAGUUUGUUAGGCUUAAGUGAAUAAGAGAAGAACACGUGGAGAAAAUUAGUUAUAGAGAUUCUUCUCUUUGUUGUAUAUAACGGGACACUGUACAAAUACAAAAUUCAUUCAUUGAAAAGGAAUUUUUUUUUACAUCUCUUCACGGAGCCCCGAGAAACAGGAUGGUGUUGUAGUAAUAGUGAAGUGGUGGUGAUAGCAGCGCAAUAGAUGAACUCUAGUGCAAAACGCCAUGGGAUUAGAUUGUGAAAAUUGGUUUUGAGGGUUAUGUGUGUGUAAUUUUAUGUCAUAGAAGCUGAAGAAGCUCAGCUAUGGUGGGGAGAAGCGGAGCUUGGGGAAGAGAUGAAAUAAGGGUUAAAUUCGUUUAGGAUUUUUUAAGUGGGGCAAUUUGAGUCGGGUAAUGGGUAAUUUUUAAGUGAAUGGGGUAUUUAAAAUUUUUGGGGUGGGUCUUUUUGUUACAAAUCUGACACGUGUCAUUCCGUCCAAAGUAAGUGUAUUUUUGAACCAAAGUAUAAUAGUAGGAACACAAAUAUACUACUAGUAAAACGGAGGAUAAAUUUAAAUAAUUUUUGAUAGUAGAGUGAUAUAUUUGACCCUUUACCAGUUUGACUUCAACUUCUCAGAAAAUCCAUUUUUUCCGGCUUGAAUAUGGUUUGAGAAAGAUGAGAGAAUUUUGAGGGUUUUGGUGGCUUCUUCCAUUGUUGGAGAGCUUUGGUUGGGGAAAUGGGUGUUUUCGGUCUCCAUGUAAGCUGCUUACUUUCAAACUAGAUUCAAGCACCAAUAAUGGUCCGGUGUUGGUCUCCAUUUUCAGCUAGCAAAAGUUUUCCGGUGAGCUAAUGGAGGUUGGUCUGCAGUAAAAGUUCGCACGGGAGGUUGCAGGCAUUAGAGAGUGUGGUUUGCACUUCUUUAUUAAAUAGAAGUAUGGUUGGCCGAAGAAGGUGAAAUUUAUUACAUUUCAUACAAAUAUAAGGGGUCAUAUUUUGAAACUAACGUGUCUAUUUUCUGAUUUUAUGAUGAUGUUAUUAUUUUUAUGGUAUCUGUUAUUGGUACUGAUAUAUUGUCUUUUUUCGUGUUUUUUGUUUUCUUGAGCCGAUGGUCUUUCGGAAACAACCUCUCUCUCCAUCGAGAUAGAAGUAAGAUCUCCGUACAUACUACCCUCCCUAAACCUCUCACCUGCGAGAUUUUACUCAAUUGUUGUUUUAACCGAUAAAGUGGGACAAACCAAGGGGAUAAUUAUGUAUUAUCCAUAUAAUGUUUGGAGUAAAAUUUGGAUGAAUGCUUUAGCCCCUUGUUCCUCCGUGUUUAGACUACUCUAUUUUGGAUGGAGUCCAAUAAUGAAGUUGGGUUCCACUUGUUGAACCUUUUUUAUUAGGAACUUUUACCUACGUUAUAAACUUAUUUAUUGUUUUUAAAAAUGUUAGUAGUUAAUUAUGUAGUUUGUAUACAUAUUUAUUAUUUAUAUAUAAAAUAAUGUAUUAGACUCCAAUUUUUCUUAUUUUCUCUCUCCAUCUUCCCCAUUUUUUCUCUCCUCAUUAAAAGUAUAGUCGAAUUCCCAACUGUAUUUACGCAAAAUUCACUGUUAAAGCUUCAUCAUCUUCAAUCUCUAAUAGUUACCUAUUCAAAUAAGUAAUUUUACAUAAAAUUACGUUGAAACUCAAGCUAACAUCCACUUUGUUUGCUAGAGUUUUCAUAUCAUCUCCAAUGGCUUUAUUAGCUUGAUCUUUUACUCUAACCAUAAACUCUAUAACAAUUGUGAUAUUUAAGAUGGUAGGUUCAUUAUCUGUUCCAAACAAAUAACAAUUUCGUCAUUGGCAGCUACUAAAAGAUUCGAAGCUUUAAAUUUAAAAAUUAGGUAUAGCGAAAUUAUUAGUUGUUUGGAUUAGGAUUAAUAAUAUUUGGGAAUAUCUUUUGGAGUUUAAAUCUCAAUUUUAAGAAUAUUUGGUGAAUGUUUGAGUUGAUUUUAGUUUAAACUUCGUAUUGAAACUCGAAAAAAAAAG